This 460-nucleotide ribosomal RNA is filed under the name uncultured bacterium. RNAcentral's name for it is "partial 16S ribosomal RNA". It matches the Rfam family "Bacterial small subunit ribosomal RNA", at positions 338 to 795 of the family's 1533-position model. The record is from RNAcentral.
CCUACGGGAGGCAGCAGUGAGGAAUAUUGGUCAAUGGUCGAGAGUCUGAACCAGUCAAGUAGCGUGAAGGAUGACUGUCCUAUGUGUUGUAAACUUCUUUUGUCAGGGAAUAAAACCUGGCACGUGUGCCUUUUUGCGUGUACUUUAUGAAUAAGCAUCGGCUAACUCCGUGCCAGCAGCCGCGGUAAUACGGAGGAUCCGAGCGUUAUCCGGAUUUAUUGGGUUUAAAGGGAGCGUAGAUGGGCUGUUAAGUCAGUUGUGAAAGUUUUCGGCUCAACCGUAAAAUUGCAAUUGAUCCUGGCAGUCUUGAGUACAGUUGAGGUAGGCGGAAUUCGUGGUGUAGCGGUGAAAUGCUUAGAUAUCACGAAGAACCCCGAUUGCGAAGGCAGCUUACUAAACUGUGACUGACAUUGAUGCUCGAAAGUGUGGGUAUCAAACAGGAUUAGAUACCCGGGUAGUC